Molecule: long non-coding RNA, 409 nt
Filed under: Androctonus crassicauda
Lineage: Eukaryota; Metazoa; Arthropoda; Arachnida; Scorpiones; Buthidae
Source: RNAcentral
AUCAUCUCCCUCACAGGGCUCCAAUCCUUAUCUUGUGGCAUGAUGAUCACGUCCAUCAAGGUCAGACUGCACCUGCAAGGAGGAUGACUCCUCAGAGUAGAUCCAGGAAAGUGUACCCGAAGCAGUUCCUUCAAAGAGUCCCUACAAGUACUGAUCAUGCUGCCAUCAGGCAGCUUAAGAGAACCAACCUUGCAAAAGUCCCCAUAGGACAUUAUCUUCACAAGUCUAGAUACCUCAGUUAUAUCCUCAAUUCCCAGAGUCCAUUUAGCUUUAUUAAAACAACUCCCAAUGUUAAAUCUAAGGCUCUCAAACUGUUUGAAAUAACUAAGUGAUAUUUCACUCGCCAUUAUGAUUUAAAUGCAAAGACAUUUUUUCUAGAGGCAAAUUCUCAGUAUAUAAACUGUAGUGC